Molecule: ribosomal RNA, 629 nt
Filed under: Tromodesia setiventris
Lineage: Eukaryota; Metazoa; Arthropoda; Insecta; Diptera; Rhinophoridae
Description: eukaryotic LSU rRNA
Rfam family: Eukaryotic large subunit ribosomal RNA
Source: RNAcentral
CAGAGUACGUGAAACUGCUUAGAGGUUAAGCCCGAUGAACCUGAAUAUCCAUUGGGGAAAAUUCAUCAUUAAGAUUUAAAAUAUUUAUAACAUUUUAAAUAAUGGUGUGCAUUUUUUCCCCAUAAAGGACAUUGUAAUCUAUUAGCAUGAAAUAAAAAAAAUUUAUCAUAAGAUCAGCGUGCGCUAAAGUUUAUUCAAAUUAUAUUGCUUGCGAUUUAAUAUCGAAUAAAUGCAUUUGAUUUGAUAAAGUGUUGAUAGAUUUAAAAAUUAUAUAGUGCUUAAAUAUUAUGUAUAUAAUAUUUUAUAAUAGCAUAUUAAUCAUUGAUUUUUAUGUUUAUUUUAUAUGCACUUAUAUGAUUAACAAUGCGAAAGAUUCAGGAUACCUUCGGGACCCGUCUUGAAACACGGACCAAGGAGUCUAACAUAUUUGCAAGUUAUUGGGUAUAUACUCAAAACCUAAUAGCGUAAUUAACAUAACUAAAUUUAUAUAAUGGGAUUAGUUUUUGGCCUAAUGUAUUUUAGUGUCUAUUAAUUCAAUCCCGGGGCGUUCUAUACAGUUAUGUAUAAUAAUAUUUAUAUUAUUUAUACCUCUAACUAGAGCGUACCUUGAGCAUAUAUGCUGUGACCGA